GAUGAACGCUGGCGGCGUGCCUAAUACAUGCAAGUCGAGCGAACGGACGAGAAGCUUGCUUCUCUGAUGUUAGCGGCGGACGGGUGAGUAACACGUGGAUAGCCUACCUAUAAGACUUGGAUAACUUCGGGAAACCGGAGCUAAUACCGGAUAAUAUUUUGAACCGCAUGGUUCAAAAGUGAAAGACGGUCUUGCUGUCACUUAUAGAUGGAUCCGCGCUGCAUUAGCUAGUUGGUAAGGUGACGGCUUACCAAGGCAACGAUGCAUAGCCGACCUGAGAGGGUGAUCGGCCACACUGGAACUGAGACAAGGUCCAGACUCCUACGGGAGGCAGCAGUAGGGAAUCUUCCGCAAUGGGCGAAAGCCUGACGGAGCAACGCCGCGUGAGUGAUGAAGGUCUUCGGAUCGUAAAACUCUGUUAUUAGGGAAGAACAUAUGUGUAAGUAACUGUGCACAUCUUGACGGUACCUAAUCAGAAAGCCACGGCUAACUACGUG
This 497-nucleotide ribosomal RNA is filed under the name uncultured bacterium. Its description in RNAcentral is "partial 16S ribosomal RNA". It matches the Rfam family "Bacterial small subunit ribosomal RNA", at positions 28 to 507 of the family's 1533-position model. The record is from RNAcentral.